CGGCGUCACUGCGCCCAAGUUAAGGUAAGAUUUGGGAGCGGAGUUCUCCUAUGAGUGCCCCCUCACCCUGCCUGUCUUGGUCUAAUCAAUAAAGGAAACAUAGGAGCGGCUCCAUAUUGAGAGAGGUGAGAUGCUUGUUUAUUAUACCUGUUGCUGUGGUCUUUCCUUCUGUUCCACAGGCAGUUGACCUCAGCCAUAGACUUGUGAGAGGCCUUCCUAUAUAAAGCUUCACUUUGGCG
Pelobates cultripes (western spadefoot toad) is the source of this 239-nucleotide non-coding RNA. The record is from the annotation of a GenBank genome assembly. NCBI's taxonomy places the organism in Eukaryota, Metazoa, Chordata, Amphibia, Anura, Pelobatidae.